RNAcentral lists this ribosomal RNA (5610 nucleotides) under Triticum aestivum (bread wheat). RNAcentral's name for it is "partial small subunit ribosomal RNA". Lineage: Eukaryota; Viridiplantae; Streptophyta; Magnoliopsida; Poales; Poaceae. The record is from RNAcentral.
AUGGACCCCGCGGCGGCUCAGCCCCGGGAAACUGCUGAUCGGACGCCUGCCGAGGACCCUCCCGCCGUCGCCCCGUCCGCGGCGCCACUUGCCGACGAGGUGAUGGAAGAGAUCGCGGAGGCCAGCGCGGCGGCGGGACUGGGAGAAGAAGAACCCCCUGCUGCGGCGCCCGUCUGCGUCACGAGUGAGGCCAAGGCGGAGGAGACGGCUGGAGGCACCACAACGGAGCAACAGAGUAUCGUCUUGGCCUUGGUGAGUGAGGGGAAGAUGGAUGCGGACGAUUGCUGCACGGGGGACGCAGAUCAUGCUGCGGCCCCUGUGGCGAGCGAAACGAAGACUCUGGUAGAUGACAUCACCAUUCAGGAGCAAGAGCAUGCUCUGGCAACUGAGGUGAAGAUGGAGGAAGAGGAUCAACAGCCUACCCAACCUGCUGGUGCCCGUCAGGUGAAAGAGGAGGAGGGGGGAUGCUUGGUGGGCCGCUACAUCAGCCAGACUGCUGAUGAUGGUACAAGGAUUCGUCUUGGGAAGGUUGCAUCAUACGACACCAGCAUUGGGACGUACAGCGUGGUGUUUGAGGAUGGACAGAGUGAGGAGCUGGGGCAUCCUCAGCUCCAGGAGUUACUCAUGACUGAGGAAAAUGGUGCAUCUGGCAUGAAAGUCAGCUGCAGGAAGAGGAAGCUGGACCUGGUCGUUUCAUCAGGGACUGCCACGGUGCUCAAUGGUCCGCCAACUACUAGACAGAAGGUUGAUGCAUGUCAAAUGCAUGAUGCAUCCCAGCAAAGUGGAUCUGGCUCAGAUGUAUCAGAGGAUGUGGAAUCUUCCAGCAAUUCAUCGGAUUCUACUAAAGAAUUGGCAAUCGUGCCGUGCCUGCCAGUUCAGGGCCCAGAGUUGCCUCCGUCAUCAGGCGACAUUGAUGUGCCGGGGGAGUCCACAAGUCACCUCUUUUCUGUUUAUAACUUCCUCCGUUCAUUCAGUGUGCAGCUGUUCCUCAGUCCAUUUGGCAUGGAUGAUUUUGUUGCAUCCAUUAAUUGCUCUGUGCAGAGUACAUUGUUUGAUGCUGUACAUGUCUCGCUGCUGCGGGCGCUGAGGCGGCAGCUUGAGACUAAAUCCUCUGAAGGAUCAGAGCUUGCUUCAAACUGCUUGAAGUAUCUAGAUUGGUCAUUGCUAGAUGCACUGACUUGGCCAACUUUGUUACUGGAGUACCUCUAUGUAAUGGGUUGCAUCAAGAGUCUAGGGGGGAAGAGUUUUGCUCGAAGCCUCUUGGCCCUUGAAUAUUAUAAGCUUCCUGUUACCAUGAAGCUUAGGGUCCUCCAAAUACUCUGUGAUCAUGCCAUUGAUUCUGAAGAACUCAAAACUGAACUGGAAGCACGGGAGGCCUAUAAUGAGGAACUGGAAUAUGAGAUGGAUUCAAGUAAUUUCUCAGAGGCUGGAUCACGAGUAGUCCUGACUAGGCCCUCAAGGACUUCUGCUUGCAAAAAGAUUGAAGAUUCCCAGAAUCUGGAAGCUGCUCCAAAUGUAACAAGUCCAGAAGCUGUUGCAGCAAAUGCAUCCCUGGAUGGUAACAGUGAUGAUUGCCGAAUAUGUGGAAUGGAUGGGACUCUUGUAUGCUGUGAUGGCUGCCCAUGGGCAUAUCACUCAAGAUGUAUUGGUCUGAACAAAGCAUUUCUGCCCCAGGGACUUUGGUUCUGUCCAGAAUGUGUGGUUAACAAGCUUGGGCCAACAUCUUCAAGGAUAGAGCGUGGGGCAAGAGGAGCUCAAAUGUUUGGCAUUGACAUGUGUGAGAGACUCUUCCUGGGAUCCUGCAACUAUCUGCUUGUGAUUGGAACAUCUUCGAAUGCAGAGUCUUAUGCAAGUUAUUACAAUCAGUAUGAUGUUGUCAAGGUCAUCCAAGUACUUGCCCUUUCAGAUGCAUAUACAACUAUAUGUAGGAGAAUAACAGAGUACUGGCCCCACCUGCUAGAUGUAUUUCAGAACGAGAGGUCAAAAAUAGGUAAAAAUACUGAUGCAAGCUAUGCUCUACAAUGCAAUACGUCGCUGAGUGCUAAUCCAAGUGAAGCAGUAGAUGGAAGUGUCCGUUCAAUCUUAAAAGAUGGUGGUGAGAGUAAAACAGCAGUAUUUUCUGAAGUAGAUGUGCAGCACAAAUUUGUGGCUAAUCAAUUUACAGUGUGCUCUGCCGAUCAACUGGAGGAACAAAACAUGGUGACUAGUGUAGAUGGUACUGAGAACAACAACCUACAAACUUCUUUAGCUCAGAAUGACGUACAUACUACACCAAUCAAUGGAGCUUUUGGAUGCUCGGGGUUAUCCUCAGUUUCUCAUCAGAAUGGGUCCACGGUAGCUGGUUUGUCUAACAUAACACAUGCACAGCCAGCAUAUCCGUUAGUUUGUACAGACUUGUCCACCUCCUUUUCAGGGAUGAAAGAUAAUGCCAUGUCCAGAGAAGAUAUUGGGAGCGCCAUUUCUGUGAAGGCAGACUCAUCUUCUGCAUCUCAAAAUAAACAUCCCUUUGGAAACGUGAUUGGUGGCAAGGCAGCUAAAUUGUCAUCAUUUAAACCUCAGGCUUACAUGAAUCUUUACAAUCAUGGCAAUAUCGCAGCAUCUGCUGCCGCUAAUCUAGCUGUUCUUACAUCAGAUGAAGGAAAAGUUGCAACAUCUCAAGUCAUCACAAAUCCAAGGAAGAAAAUGGCUGCUGACUGCGCUCUACAAGUGAAAGCAUUUUCCUCAGCAGCUGCUCAAUUUGUUUGGCCAUGUACUGAAAAGAAGGUUAUGGAAGUCCCAAGAGAUAGAUGUGGCUGGUGCCUUGCCUGUAAAAGUUCGGCAAUUGGAAAUAAAAAGGCUUGUUUUCUUAAUUUAGCCACUGCAAAUGCUUCCAAAGGAUCUGCUCGAAUUUUUAGUGCCAUGCAUGUAAUCAAAGGUUCUGAGAGCCAUUUCCCCAGCAUCGUUGCUUAUCUGACCAACAUGGAGGAGAGUUUACGUGGCCUUUUAGUUGGUUCCCUACAAGACAUGCAGCAGAGACAACGAUGGCAUAAACAGCUACAAGAAGCUUCCAACUGCAGAACUAUAAUACCCCUCUUGCUUGAAUUGGAGAGCAAUAUUCGUGGGAUAGCAUUUUCUGCAAGCUGGUUGAAGCUAAUGGAUGAUUGGCCUGUGAAAUCUCCUGGUGUAUCUGCUGGACCAUCCCGUUCUGCAGCAUACCAAAAACGUGGAACUGGUGGAAGGCGGGGCAGAAAACGUUUGUUGGCAUCUGAAUCUUCUACUGUUACUGAUGAUGACAAGAGCUGGAAAGAGGUGAAUUGGUGGAAUGGAGGACAUAUUUCUAAAUGUAUUUUGCAGAAGGGGGUUCUUCCAAGUUCGGCCGUAAGAAAAGCUGCUCGUCAAGGUGGUAAAAGAAAGAUAGCAGGUCUAUCUUAUCAUGAAACUUCCAAUUUUCCAAGACGAACUCGACAAUUUGCUUGGCGAGCAUGUGUUGGGUUAAGCCAUAAUUCAUCUCAACUUGCUCUGCAGGUUAGAUACCUUGACGCUCAUAUAAAAUGGAAGGAAUUCAUCCCUCCAGACCAAAUUCCUUCAGAUGGAAAAAGUUCUGAUGCUGACCAUUCUGCUUUCAGAAACGCAAUGGUUUGUGAUAAAAAAGUAGUCGAUGGUAACAUAAGAUAUGCACUGAAGUUUUCAAACCAGAAGCAUCUUCCUGUGCGUGUAACCAAGAAUAUCUUGGAAGCAGAAGAUAAUCAGGAUGAGAAUGGCAAAUUGUGGUUUUCUGAAAUCCAUGUCCCACUGUAUUUAGUAAGGGAUUUUGAGCAGAAAGCUGGGGUUAGCUCCUCGCCUAGUCCAGGAACCAUAAUCUCUAACAGUUCCACAAAUUUCUACCAAAGACGUGUAAAGGCAACCAUCGGAGAUAUCUUUUUCUAUCUCUUUCACAAGGGAGAUGUAUAUCCCUGCUCCUCAUGUGAGAAGGAUGUGGCCUUCAGGGAUGCCAUAAAGUGUAGCUCUUGUCAAGGCAAUUGCCAUAAAGAGUGCACAUCAGGAUCUGUUGGCAGCAAAGGAGGCAAUACUGCUCCGAAUUUGAUGUGCAAGUUAUGCUUUCAGAAGCGUAAUCUCACCCAGACCAAGACAAAUGCAAAUUCUGCCUUGUCUCAGCAAAAGAGUAAUGGCCAACUGCCAGUGACUGCUCCCAAAAUAAUCUUCACGGUUCGUUCUGCCCAUUCUUCUGAACCAGCCAUGAAUGUCGCGGCUAAGGUUGAAGCUCAGCCAUUUGCAAAGGUGGAAACUCAGCCAACGAAGGUGGAAACCCAGACAGUCAUGAAGGUGGAAACCCAGCCAAUACCAAAGGCAGAAUCUGGACCUGUUACAAAUGUGGCAACUCAAAAUAUUGCAGGGGUGCAGGUUCAGCCUAAGGCUAAAACUAAAAAACCGAAGACAGAAAAGCCAAAAAAACCUAAAAAAGUUCAGGUUAUCACAUACUUUGGUCUUGUUUGGAGGAAACAUAAGAAUGACACUGGUGGAGAAGAUUUCAGGGCCAAUGAUGUAAUCCUAAAAAGCAAGGAUGGUAUGGGUUCUUCAAUAAAACCAGCUUGCUGUCUCUGUAACAAACCUUACAGUCCAGAUUUCAUGUAUGUCCGCUGUGAGAGGUGCCAAAAGUGGUUUCAUGGUGAUGCCUUGCAGCUUGAGGAAGAAAGAAUAAAUGAGGUGGUUCAAUACCGAUGCUGUAGAUGCCGAAGGAGAGCCAUACCACAAUGUCCUCAUUCAGAUGAUUAUAGGGAGCCUGAACCAGAAGUCAGUGAACAAACAGCUACUAUGUCAUCACAAUCAACUAUGCUCUCUGGUGAGGAGACUUUUGCUAUAGCAGUUCAAGAUCCACUGCUUGCUUCAUAUGGAAUAGUUGAACCGAUUGGGGAGGAGUCAAUGAAUGCUGAUUUGUCAAUGAACAUGGGAAGCCAUAUGCCAGGAAGUAAUCAGAAGUUGUCCAUAAGAAGGGCACAAGUAGUUAAGAAUUCUGAAUACCUUGAUCAAGCUGGAACAUCAGUGAAUGGGUAUUAUGUUCAGAACCAAACUCCAGGGGAUGCAAACAUUAAUUUCAGUCACAUGAAUGAAUUUUCCAUGUCAGAGGCUGAUGGUGUGGACGCUUCGGAGCUAUUGGGGUGGGAUUUUACCCAAGGAAACGGAUAUGCUGUUGGUCCUGAUCAGGGCACUAACUCCCAGUGGAAUGACACUAGCGGUGGCAGCAUUGUGGCUGAGGAAUAUGAACCACAGACCUAUUUCUCAUUCACAGAGUUGCUCGAAGCUGAUGAUACACAGUUUGAUAACACAUUCGGGAUGUCUACUGGUCUGCAAGAUGAUGGUAACUUUGCAGGAAGCUUUGAUCAGCAAGGGGCUAGUUUUGAUGAAUUGACUUUCAUGGUAGAAGAAGAGUCUUCAAAUAUGCACUUCCCAACAAAUGAUCCAUCCAUUGACGAGUUAGUGUGCCACAAGUGCAAGGAUCCUCAACAGCCACCUGAACUCAAAUGUUCUUCCUGUGGCCUGCGUGUACACCAUCAGUGCUCACCUUGGCAGGAAAGUGAACAGCCUGGUGACAGUGCCAAUUGGAGGUGUGGUACUUGUCGGGAGUGGCAAUGA